Molecule: ribosomal RNA, 328 nt
Filed under: uncultured bacterium
Lineage: Bacteria
Description: bacterial SSU rRNA
Rfam family: Bacterial small subunit ribosomal RNA
Source: RNAcentral
AGAGAAUAGAUACCCUGGUAGUCCACGCCGUAAACUAUGGAUGCUAGCUGUUAUGAGUAUCGACCCUCGUAGUAGCGUAGCUAACGCGUUAAGCAUCCCGCCUGUGGAGUACGGUCGCAAAGACUAAAACAUAAAGGGAAUUGACGGGGACCCGCACAAGCGGUGGAGCGUGUUGUUUAAUUCGAUGGUAAGCGAAGAACCUUACCCAGGCUUGACAUCCUGCCAAGGUCUCCGAAAGGAGAUUGUGCCUUCGGGCCGCAGUGACAGGUGAUGCAUGGCCGUCGUCAGCUCGUGUCGUGAGAUGUUUGGUUAAGUCCAUCAACGAGCG